This is an RNA transcript of Pundamilia nyererei, 1702 nucleotides long. RefSeq lists it as uncharacterized. NCBI's taxonomy places the organism in Eukaryota, Metazoa, Chordata, Actinopteri, Cichliformes, Cichlidae. The transcript has 4 exons. The record is from RefSeq and is a predicted model, not a curated record.
AUCAGAAGGAGGCUGGUAUGGGGCGGGGCUAAAAAUCAGGCAAAGCUGCUUCGGUAAAAAAGUAAAAUUUGAGAUGAGCAGUUUCAUAUUAAUGUUCACUGACUGCAUUAAAGCAGCAAUAACCAGAGCUCUGCUGUCCUGAUGAUGUUCACUAACAAAAAGCAGAAAGUUAAAAACAUUUUUCUUAUGUUAAUUUUUGUUCUCCAUCAACUUUCGUCCCCAGACUCUGUACCGACUCCUGCAGUGAAGAAAGUGAGUGUGAGCUCUGAGAGCUGCUUCUUACUGUGUCGGGUGGACAGAGAGACCACACUGCUGUGGUUCAAAGACGAGCAGAUGCUGAACCAGAGCAGCUCUGCGCUCUCUCUGUCUCUCACUGUGCACAAACAGGACUUCAACUCCUCUUACAGAUGUGUGGCUGCAAACCCUGCAGAGGAGAAAACUCUUCCUGUCCGUGUGAGAACCACCUGUGGAGACACAGACGACAAUGACACCAACAGCUCGACUGAACCAAGAAACUAUAACAUCCUCAUUAUAAUCUUCUGUGUCCUGUUGGUUGUGAUGAUCAUACUUGCUGCUUUCAUCAUCAAGUCAAAGUAUCUUUCCCGAAACAAAACGAAGACAAACGGACAGGCACAAGGCAGGCUCCGCAGGCACACAGGAAGAGGUCCAAUAUAGUGAAAUACAAAUAAGCAACAACAGACAGGGGGAAAAUAUACCAGAGUCCUCAACAACGAUCUAUCACACCAGCCUGACCACAGUAUACGAUAAGCUGGAGGCCCAUCGCAUGAUCACGGACAACUAUGCUGAAAAUACCUGAGACCACACGAGAAAUUCCCAACGGAGAGUUUCCAGAAAGAAAAUUUUCAGGUUAUUGUUUUUUUGACUGAAUUAGUUGCUUUCGUUUUAUUUAUAUUAUUUCAUUUAUUUUAUGAACUGCAUGUGCCUCUGUGUCAGCCUGUUAGAUUUCUGUUAUUGAGUCUCACAUUUCAGUUGAAUUCACAGCAAAGCUUUUUUUCACUUCCUGCAGCUAAAAAAAAGUCUGUGCAUGAAGGAAUUUGGGAAAUGAGUCAAUGAUUUAAAAACGACUAACACACUCAGCUCAGGUACAGCUGAACUGGUUUCAUAGUUAAAGCUGUCGACUGAAUGCAGCGAAGCAGCCAUGAUGUCCAAACAUCGGCUUUGUGUGAAAGAGAUCAACCGAGUUCCACUUUUGAGUUACACAAUUUUGUACCACAAGACGUGCAGCGAGUCAGUCUUGUUUUCUCCAUCCAGUGUUAAAAUCAUCUUCCUUGUUCAGCCCAGACUGUGCAGGCUGGUGGUGGCAUCUCACCCGGACUGUUGGCUGAUACUUUUGGUGAUUUAUGUUCAGACUGGUUCCCAAAAACAUUUCAUCCUUCAUGUUUUCUGUCUUGUUCUCCCACUCUUGGUUUUCUGUGUCUGUGUGUUUUCUUGGAAAUAUCAUAACCUCAUUUUGUAAAUAAACCUGUUCAAACCUUUCCAUUGCUCAGCAUGUGGGUCCUUCCUUCUGCCUGCAGACUAGUGUUACCUGUUGCUUGUCAGGUGAUACUCCCUCUAACCCGGAUGCUCCCAUUGGUCCAGAGCCGUCCUCUGGUUCUCAGCAGCAGUGUGGACCAACAUCACCUGGAACCUCUGUUACAAAAAUACUUUUUUGUGUAAUGAUCAGUGUUGGGAAGGUUACUUU